UAAUAUCUAACAAUUCAAAGAUGUAAUCAUUUAUAUAAGUCUUCCAGAGAUAACAUGUACCCUUACACUAUAGUAUUCCACAAUUUUUUGUUCUCCUCCUUCCAUUUUAAAUUCUUGCAUUUCAAUAUCGUGGAUGAUUAAUUUUACCCUGUAAGAAGUGAAUUCGAACUGUAAAACUGGAAUAACCAAUGAAAUAAGUUUCCAUAUAUCAAAACUACACUGUAAAGAUGAUCGUAUUAGAAAGUUGCGACAUACAUUUACCACACAUAAAAUAAAAAGAUCUUGACUUGACGAAGCCCUCCGUGUAAGCUACUCCUCAACCCCUCGAUUUUUAACUAAUGGCUAAAAGAAUCGUUCAGUAACAGUAGGGUAAUGCUCACAAUGUGAAGUUCUAAAACUUCCAAAGAAAAAAUAUGUAGAAGAAGAAAUGAAAUGAGGUAAGCUUUUAGGAAAAUAUAGAAGUAUAAUGUACAAAUUAUCCUUUAAAAUGGCACCGCCCAAACCAGCAAAGCCCUUAAGUAUUCCCACAAGGGGACCUCGGCUUUUGGGGAAGUUUUGGACACAGGAAACGAGGGACGCUGUGUUGAAGUAUGUCUCGCCGUUCGUACCAACGAAGAUAAGGAUGCACAUCUGCCAGUAAAAGCGAUAAUCAUGUUUCGUUUUUUGUACAAGGCUUCAAAUAUCGUAUUACACGUUGUGAUUGCAGAUUGAAUGAAACAUCUGACCUUUGAUGAGAACAAUGGCAAAAACUAAAAAUCAAAUGUCUGAAAUCUUCUACAAUCCUAAAGAUGUGAUCUUUAAGGUAAAUUCAGCAGAUCAUAUUCAUCACAUAUAGAAAAAUAAAAAUAAAAAUUCCCAGAUCAAUAAUCACCAAUUAAUCAGCAAUCCCUGAAUAAUAAUAUUAAUAAUAAUAAUAUGCAUAUCUCUGGAUACAUCAUAUACAUUGACCAAAAGUAGUUGCAGACCAAUGAAUAAAAAAAAGGGUAAAAAAAUGAAGAAUAAAAAGAAAGAAAGAAAGAAUGGCACCCCAGGGGGAGGUGACGACAAGCCAAACCCAGCCAUAACCAACAAAAUUCUGAAUAGCCACUAAAUUCGGAAACUAAUACCCUAUUUGGAUUUGUAAGUCUGUAAACGUAAAUACGCACCGGUUAUCUUCCCCAUUGACUGCAAAAUGAGUCCUCAAGCCUCCAUCUUUUUC
This 1198-nucleotide long non-coding RNA is filed under the name Erythranthe guttata (spotted monkey flower). Its description in RNAcentral is "long non-coding RNA (EGUT_LNC003325)". Lineage: Eukaryota; Viridiplantae; Streptophyta; Magnoliopsida; Lamiales; Phrymaceae. The record is from RNAcentral.